UACGGGGGGAGCAAGCGUUGUUCGGAUUUACUGGGCGUAAAGGGCGCGUAGGCGGUCAGCACAAGUCAGUUGUGAAAUCUCCGGGCUUAACUCGGAAAGGUCAACUGAUACUGUGCGACUAGAGUGCGGAAGGGGCAACUGGAAUUCUCGGUGUAGCGGUGAAAUGCGUAGAUAUCGAGAGGAACACCUGCGGCGAAGGCGGGUUGCUGGGCCGACACUGACGCUGAUGCGCGAAAGCGUGGGGAGCGAACCGG
Molecule: ribosomal RNA, 254 nt
Filed under: uncultured bacterium
Lineage: Bacteria
Description: partial 16S ribosomal RNA
Rfam family: Bacterial small subunit ribosomal RNA
Source: RNAcentral